RNAcentral lists this long non-coding RNA (5783 nucleotides) under Nicotiana benthamiana. RNAcentral's name for it is "long non-coding RNA (NBEN_LNC014851)". Lineage: Eukaryota; Viridiplantae; Streptophyta; Magnoliopsida; Solanales; Solanaceae. The record is from RNAcentral.
UAUUUCAUUCCGCUCCACUGUUUUAGCAAGCUUCGUAGUCUCACUGGGAGACCCAAAAUGAAGAGCGUGAUGGUAUGGACUCGAGGCGUUGAAAAUUGGUUUUGGAACGUAUUGUUGGGCAUCGGGGACUGAUGGCGGAGGACACCCACUGGCCCAAGCUUUGUGCAUUCGGACUAUUUGCCUUUUCAACCUCAAAACCUCUUCUUUCGACUCAGAUCUGAUUCAACAAUUCCCCUAGACGGAUCGGUAAUACCUGUGUUCAACCCUUUGCCAGCCAUGACUGCCUUACUUUUCGACCUUGUGUUGUAUGGAUGAGUUACCACAAGCCAACCACCUCAACUUUCUUCACAAUUCAAAAAUAAACAUGUUAGAAUGGAUUGAGUCGGUCCUCAUCAUCAACAACAUCUUUUCACAUUUAUUGUUCAAUUCUUCUUUUUAUUUUUUUAUUUUUCAUUUUUCUUUUGCUUUUCUUCCUUUUUUAUUUCUUUUUUUUAGUUGUGGUUGAAUCUUAUAAGGAUUGCCUACGUAUCAUGACCCCGAAUGAAUCAGACCGUGCGUAGGUGUUGCAAAUAAAAGGUAAACGAUAGUAAAAUACUUUUGAACUUUUCCAUUUUCAUAAUAACAACAAAACUGACCGACUAAACGACGAAAUACAGACUCAACAAUCAAACGACCCAUAUACUCUAAUCAAAAGAAAUAAACCCAAAAGCAAAAUGACAGAUUCCUUCCCCUGUAUGCCAAUUUUGACCCUAAAUACGAACGGUAUUCGCUUGACCAUUGACUCUUUUUUUUCAAAUUAAAAUAAAUAACCUGGUAUUGCAAACACGGCCUUUCAGCGCCUCGGGGACGAAGAUUUUAAGGUUGUGAGGGUAAAAAAUCAAAAUAUGACCAAAGACGGCCGUUUUUGCAAAGUUGCCUUCCGGCGUUCCUUUGAGGAACAUUCGGCUAUUUAUGACAAAACGGCCUCACCCGACUUAUUUAUGACUCAUUUUUUCAUUUUUUUUUCAAAUUAAAAUAAACGACCCGGUAUUGCAAACACGGUCUUCCAUCACCUCGGGGACGAAGAUUUUAAGGUUGUUGGGUCGAAAAUCAAAACAUGACCAAAGAUGGCCAUUUAUGCAAGGUCAGCCUUCCGGCGUCCCCUUUGGGAACAUUUGGCUAUUUUUGAAAAAAUGGCAUCACCUGACUUAUUUAUGAGGCAAAUAAAUUUUUUGACAUUUUUUGGCUACUUUUGCAAAGGGGAGGUUGGACCCGAUGAGGGUUGCCUACGUAUCUCACGCCCUGUGAGAAUCAAACCAUGCGUAGUUCGGGCAGAUUAACCGAACUAUUUUAAAAGUGGACUCUUUUGUUUCAUUUUCAUUAUUGGCAUUUCAUAAGCAGAUAAAAAAACUACUGUUACAAACAAGACUCUUUUUUUUUUCUUUUUCAACAAACAAAUAAGAAACUCUUUUUCUUUUCUUUUUUUUUUAAUUUUCUAUAGCAAAACAAACUAUUUUUCUCUUUUUCAUUUUCGAAAACAAGACUAAGAUAAACGACUCUUUUUCCUUUUUUUAUUUUUCAUGGCAAAACAAACUAUUUUUCUGUUUCUAUUUUUGAAAACAAGACAAAACAAACGUUUUUUUUUCUUUUCAUGUUCAACAAACAACCUAUUUCCCAAACUAAAAAUAAAAACUCUUUUUUUUAUUUUUCAACAAAUAAUAAAACAACCUAUUUCCAAACUAAAAAUAAAGACUCUUUUCUUUUCUAUUUUCAAUAAAAACAACCUAUUUUUCUAUUGGCAAAUUAAACUAUUUUGAAAUAAGAAAAACAAAAAUCAAGACUCUUUUUUUCUUUUCAUUUUUCGUUGCAAAACAAACUAUUUUUCCUUUUCUCUUUUUGAAAACAAGACAAAUUAACGACUUUUUUUUUCUUUCCAUUUUUAACAAACAACCUAUAUACCCCAAAAUAAAGACUCUUUUCUUUUUCUUUUCAGCAAACAAUUUUCAAAAAUAAUUUAUUUUUUUUUUGGUUUUUUAGCAAGCAAACUACUAAAAAUAAAACAUCUUUUUUUUAUUUUUUCAAAAUCUCGGCAGAGAUAGUACUUGGGCAUUGAUUUUUUCCAAAACAAUCAGUUAACUAUCCAACUGUUAUUUUUCUAUUUUCCACUUCUUCUUUUUUAAAUUUUCUAACAUUUACGAGAUUCAAAAGCCAGUCAACAUGCAGGUUUGACACAAAUAAAUGCACAGAACACAAGUAGGAUGCAUCAAGAUGGUCUUUUUCAUUUCAAGUUGCUAGCCCUAGACGGACCCAGCCCCCGUGUUGAGUCCCCUAAGUCAAAAUGCACAUGAUGCAAAUAAGCGUUCCUACUAGGGAUCCGACAUCAGACUUAGUUAUUCUAGGUUUAGAACCUAGGUGUUUGUUCUAGACCUGAUCCGGCAUGAGGCUGAGUUAUUUUAGGUUCAAAACUUGGGUGUUUGUUCGAGACAUGGCUUACCCGAGCGGACAGCUCGAGACGAGGGGGAGGCGGCAAUCCAGGAAUACAGAAGCUUCGUCGUCUUUGCGACUUAUCCAAACCUCGUUCUAAAUUGGGAUUUGACACUAUACAAAAAAGAAGUCGUACGAAGUACACCCUUCUUCAUGAUUCAGAAGACUCAGAUAGGAGAUGGGUUAUGGUACAGUUUAUAUACAGUUCACAUAAUAUCAAAGCGGUAAAAGGCAAUCAAUUAGCACAUUAGGCACAUAUCAUGUAACAAAAUCAAACAAAGCCAAGCACAACAAUUAUUCCAAGCUCAAAUUCUAAACUCUGAACAAAACGUUCUGGGUUCUUUUCCCCAGCAGAGUCGCCAGAGCUGUCACACCUCCUUUUUCGCUAUACACCCCCGCAAAGGGGCGUAAAAGAGUUUUUCCAAUUAAAGGACAAUUGGAAUGGGAUUUAUUUAUUAAGAUUUCAGAGUCGCCACUUGGGAUAUUAAUGGUGUCCCAAGUCAUCGAUUGAAUCCCGAACCGAGGAAAAAGAUGACUCUGUUAACAGUCCACGAACCAGAAAUCCGGAUAAGGAAUUCUGUUUACCCAGGAGAAGGUGUUAGGCAUUCCCGAGUUCCGUGGUUCUAGCACGGUCGCUCAACUGUUGCAUUUAGCUUUUAAUUGACUUUAUUACAUGAAGAACCUAUGUAGCAAUUUUUACUUUUUUACCGUUUUUAUUUAAUAUAUAUUUAUUCGAGAAAGUGAACGUCGUUUAAAGUGCAUUUCGGAUUGCAUCGCAUCAAAUGAACCCACAAUCCUAGACAUACUCUAUUCAACGUUUUAGGAUUUGGAUUUGGGCCGCAUAAAAUGCUCACCUUUUUUUAGGAAUGUAGUUUAUUAAAGUCGUGACUAAUAGAGGCUAACGCGUCGUAAUUUUUUGGGAGGGCCUUGAAAUUCGCUAAACGGCCUUCCAAUUUUCUAAAUAUUUUUAGAACCUUUUAUUGAGGGCCCCGCAAUUUCGCAUUUUAUUGGACGAGGCUCCUCUCAUUUUAUUUUAAUGGAUAAACUUAAAAGAUAACUAUGUUUUCUAUUUUUAUUUUUAUCUCUAAAAGAAAGAAAAAAAUUCCUAAUUGAUUAUUAUGAGAACUCGGGUUUCAAGUUCAAGUCUGGGUUCAAAUAAAAGGACGAACCUUUUAAUUUAAAACCUUCUACCUAACUCAAAACCCGAAUUUUAUAUAACAAUUUAACCUUGAAUUGCAUCCUAGAAAUAGGCCCAAGCUAACUGAAUAACUCAUUUUAAAAAUGGCCCAACGUGAGGCCCAGAGCUUAAUUUGCAACAAGCACAAACACCUAAGGCCUGGAACGAGUUACAUGAAUAGGCCCAGUUCAGAACAGAAUAUUUCCAACGAAAUGCGUUUUGAAUUUUGCUUUCAACUAUUAAACGCUCAAGAGCUGUCACACCUCCUUUUUACACACCUACCCCGAAGGAUAAUGUAUAAGGGAGUUUUUCCAUUUAAAGUGAUAUUAUUCGGAUCGGGAUUAUUUAUUUAUCAGAGUCGCCACUUAGGAAAGGUUUGGCUUUUGGUGUCCCAAGUCACCGGCUUAGCUUGAAUCUCAAUUCGAGAAAAAUGUUCGAGUUCCCAAUUGGAGUCUGCGAACCACAAAUUCUGAAUAAGGAAUUCUGUUGACCCGAGGGAAGGUGUUAGGCACCCUCGGAUCCCGUGGUUCUAGCACGGUCGCUUAAAAUGCUAUGAAUGAAUAUCACCGGCUUAGCUUGAAUCUCAAUUCGAGAAAAAUGUUCGAGUUCCCAAUUGGAGUCUGCGAACCACAAAUUCUGAAUAAGGAAUUCUGUUGACCCGAGGGAAGGUGUUAGGCACCCUCGGAUCCCGUGGUUCUAGUACGGUCGCUUAAAAUGCUAUGAAUGAAUAAAAUCUGAUUUUAAUACAUGAAAUGCCUAUGUGCCAAUUUUAUUUUUAAUCACUUUUAUUAAUUAUAUAUUUAUUUAAGAGAAAGUGAACGUCGUUUAAAGUGUGUUUUCGAAUUGCGCCACAUCAAAUGAACCCGCAAUCUUAUGCACACUCUAUUCAAUGUUUUAGGAUUUGGAUUUUGGACGCAUAAAAUACCCACCCAUAUUUAAGAAUGUAAUUUAUUAAAGUCACGUCUAAUGGUAAAAUACUAAAUGUAUAUGAGACAGCACCAUUCAUUAUGCAAGAAUAACUAUUCCUUCACAGAAAUGAAAAUCCCUAAAGUGCAAUAACAUCUAAGCUUAAAUUUGAUCCUCUGAGAGCACAAUCCAUGUAAAAUGAGGAAAUAACCAAAUGACCACUCAAAUAAAAGAUGUCAUCACCAAAACACGGGAACUAGCUUAGCGUUCCGAAAAAUCAAGUUUGAAACAAUGUAGUUGACUGACUAUUCAUACUGUCAAGAAGAAGACGAAACGAGCAGCAGCAGUGGACUCAAAAUGAACUAAAACAUUAAUAGGAUCUGAAUACAUAACACUUGGAUCAUUCAAACACAAACACCUUUUCCUUGUAAAAAAUUAUGUGAAACCAAUGCUCAGAUUUGCCGUUUCAAUGCAUGUAUAACUAAUAUAGCAAAAUUGUUUAUAUCAAUGAUACCUAAAUUCCAAUAAAAGUCUCAUUUUAAUCAAUUUAACAAUACUCCGUUCAACAUUGCAACUAAAAUAAAUAAGUAAUGUUCUAAUACCAACAACAGAAACAAACUAGAAGACAAUCUCAUACUCGAGUAAUAACAAGUGAAAAAAGUUGGAAAAGAAAACAAAUAGAUAACAAACACAGAAUUACACCUCCAAAAUAUGAAAAUAUUUUAAGGAACACAUACCUAGCAGCACAAGGUUCAAAUUAAGAAAGGGGAAAAGAGCCGAGUAAAGGCCGACAUCAGAAAUCGGAGCUCAGCGGCCGGAAAAUAGUAGUUCCAAGCAGAAAAUACAGCAAAGAAACAAUUUCAAAUUCGCCUCAAACUCAGCUUGAAACCCAGAACAUGAUGAAGUGAAAUGACAGAAUUUAAGAAGCACUUUUGAAACCUCUUUUUUUUGUGGUUUUUUGUUUUCGAUUUUCCGGAGUGUUUUUGUUCCUCGGAUCCGAAAAUUUCUCUCAAAUUCAGACCCCUCUAAACGUGAGAGAGAGUGUGUGAAUCUAGAUGUAAUUAGUGAGAGAAUGUAUAGUUGAAGAUGGGUGAUGGAGAAGAGAGGAGCUGAGCCAAUUUUAGGGGGUCUAAGAUCUGAGUCCCCCUUCUCCUAGGUUUCCUAAUGUGUGUAUUAAUAGUAAGGGAUUUAGGGCUAAAGAUGGAGUAAUUGAUUUGAGGGGAUUUGGAUCUUAAAA